GGAUCGGAGUCUGCAACCCGACUCCGUGAAGCUGGAUUCGCUAGUAAUCGCGCAUCAGCCAUGGCGCGGUGAAUACGUUCCCGGGCCUUGUACACACCGCCCGUCAAGCCAUGAAAGCCGGGGGCGCCUGAAGUCCGUGACCGCGAGGGUCGGCCUAGGGUGAAACCGGUGAUUGAGGCUAAGUCGUAACAAGGUAUC
Molecule: ribosomal RNA, 198 nt
Filed under: uncultured bacterium
Lineage: Bacteria
Description: partial 16S ribosomal RNA
Rfam family: Bacterial small subunit ribosomal RNA
Source: RNAcentral